GGGUUGUGAGGUUAAGCGACUAAGCGUACACGGUGGAUGCCCUGGCAGUCAGAGGCGAUGAAGGGCGUGCUAAUCUGCGAUAAGCGCCGGUAAGGUGAUAUGAACCGUUAUAACCGGCGAUACCCGAAUGGGGAAACCCAGUGUGACUCGUCACACUAUCAUUAACUGAAUCCAUAGGUUAAUGAGGCGAACCGGGGGAACUGAAACAUCUAAGUACCCCGAGGAAAAGAAAUCAACCGAGAUUCCCCCAGUAGCGGCGAGCGAACGGGGAGGAGCCCAGAGCCUGAAUCAGCAUGUGUGUUAGUGGAAGCGUCUGGAAAGGCGCGCGAUACAGGGUGACAGCCCCGUACACAAAAGCGCAUGUGCUGUGAGCUCGAUGAGUAGGGCGGGACACGUGGUAUCCUGUCUGAAUAUGGGGGGACCAUCCUCCAAGGCUAAAUACUCCUGACUGACCGAUAGUGAACCAGUACCGUGAGGGAAAGGCGAAAAGAACCCCGGCGAGGGGAGUGAAAAAGAACCUGAAACCGUGUACGUACAAGCAGUGGGAGCACAGGUUUACCUGUGUGACUGCGUACCUUUUGUAUAAUGGGUCAGCGACUUAUAUUCUGUAGCAAGGUUAACCGAAUAGGGGAGCCGGAGGGAAACCGAGUCUUAAUUGGGCGUUAAGUUGCAGGGUAUAGACCCGAAACCCGGUGAUCUAGCCAUGGGCAGGUUGAAGGUUGGGUAACACUAACUGGAGGACCGAACCGACUAAUGUUGAAAAAUUAGCGGAUGACCUGUGGCUGGGGGUGAAAGGCCAAUCAAACCGGGAGAUAGCUGGUUCUCCCCGAAAGCUAUUUAGGUAGCGCCUCGUGAAUUCAUCUCCGGGGGUAGAGCACUGUUUCGGCUAGGGGGCCAUCCCGGCUUACCAACCCGAUGCAAACUGCGAAUACCGGAGAAUGUUAUCACGGGAGACACACGGCGGGUGCUAACGUCCGUCGUGAAGAGGGAAACAACCCAGACCGCCAGCUAAGGUCCCAAAGUCAUGGUUAAGUGGGAAACGAUGUGGGAAGGCCCAGACAGCCAGGAUGUUGGCUUAGAAGCAGCCAUCAUUUAAAGAAAGCGUAAUAGCUCACUGGUCGAGUCGGCCUGCGCGGAAGAUGUAACGGGGCUAAACCAUGCACCGAAGCUGCGGCAGCGACACUGUGUGUUGUUGGGUAGGGGAGCGUUCUGUAAGCCUGUGAAGGUGGCCUGUGAGGGUUGCUGGAGGUAUCAGAAGUGCGAAUGCUGACAUAAGUAACGAUAAAGCGGGUGAAAAGCCCGCUCGCCGGAAGACCAAGGGUUCCUGUCCAACGUUAAUCGGGGCAGGGUGAGUCGACCCCUAAGGCGAGGCCGAAAGGCGUAGUCGAUGGGAAACAGGUUAAUAUUCCUGUACUUGGUGUUACUGCGAAGGGGGGACGGAGAAGGCUAUGUUGGCCGGGCGACGGUUGUCCCGGUUUAAGCGUGUAGGUGUGUGUUC
Molecule: ribosomal RNA, 1498 nt
Filed under: Salmonella enterica subsp. enterica serovar Newport
Lineage: Bacteria; Pseudomonadati; Pseudomonadota; Gammaproteobacteria; Enterobacterales; Enterobacteriaceae
Description: bacterial LSU rRNA
Rfam family: Bacterial large subunit ribosomal RNA
Source: RNAcentral